ACCAAGUGAGAAGAAUCAUAAGAAUAUGGGAUCUUGAAAAACACGAAAACAUCCUAAGAAAUACCAGGAAGCAGUCCCACAGUGAAACACCAAUGAAACUCAAGGUGACUGCCUAAAAUAAAAAAUCAUAGAUCUUAGGAGAAAGGGGGCAAGGAAGUAAAUCAAAGGGCAAAGCUGAAGACCAAGUGGACUGAAAAGAAGAUGGAAUACAUUUUCCCAAACACUGGUGUUCUCUGGAGUUGGCUUAUCAACAUCUUGUGUAAUAGUCAUAUAAUUGUCCCUCAUUUCUAUCUCCUCCUAAAACUGGAGAAAUGGCCUAUUAAUUUUAGAAGGUGUAUAAUUACCACAAAGCCCUCAGAUUAAGGUCCAGGACACAGAAUGGAAUAUAUGAGCAUGCAGAAAUGUAUAUCUUUAGAUUGAACUUCGAUGAUUUACCUUUUGACUGUCACCACCAGCAAAUCCUGAAAUUGAAUCCCUUGAAACUUAUGGUUUUCUUUCAGCAGCAUAGGAGUUAAGUUUUCUUCUAACUUGCCCUAGGUUCUCUCAGGAACUGGGAAAGCAGUUCUCCCAAAUCCCAAGUAAGUUAUUCAAGACAAUAUAAGGCAGAGCUAAAUUCUUCUGUUGAAGAAUUUAACAUGACUCAAACCAUAAGGAAAUCUAAAGAAGGCUGCCAAACUAUUUCGCUGCUGCCCUCCCCCACUAAAAAAGAGAGAUAAAAAUGUUAGAUUUACAAAGCAAACUACAGUGUAUGGAAUAUAUCUAUCUAUAUAUAUAUAGAUAUAUAUACACACACACAAUUUUUUUAACCUACCACUUUGCCUUAUUUGCAUGAGCACAAAUUGCUUUCAACUUAAUGCCAGAGAAAAAGGCAACAUUCCCCGUGAUGACUUGCUGAAAAGCUCACUGUAUUUGUUUGAUAAUGGAUUUUAGUUCAUUGUCAUGUACUUCACUCUUCAUCAGCAGGAGCACUUCAGGGUAAAGAAACAGGCUUUUACCACACUGGAACAAAAGCUAUAUAAGGAAAAAAAAUCCUGAGCAGAUGGAAUAUUAUUUGCAUUUGCACAAAUAGUGCUUUUUAGCACAAUUCAUAUUACUCCAUUGUGAGCUAAAGUAAGCCAGAUGUGUCUACAGCAUGCUGCAGACGCAGAAUCGGCUUUUUGUUUGUCAGACUCAGAGGUCCCAACCUUAUGAUAUCUUUGUACUUGUAUAUCCAUUAGUUUUAUUUCAGUUACUUAUCAGAAGGGAAAAGAAAAAAAUGGCACUAUGCAGUUAAGAGGACCAUUGCAUGGAGGGCUAAAUUAACUAUUUUUUAUUUUCAUGAAUGAGGAUCAAAUAGGUUUCAGAUGUCUCAACAUCUAUCUGGAGAUCUAGAUGAUGAUAUAAAAUUAAAAUGCAGAAUGUAAGUGUAAUAAAAUUUGUUUCUCCAUGAUUACAUUAAA
This is a long non-coding RNA of Nomascus leucogenys (northern white-cheeked gibbon), 1439 nucleotides long. RefSeq lists it as uncharacterized. The record is from RefSeq and is a predicted model, not a curated record. NCBI's taxonomy places the organism in Eukaryota, Metazoa, Chordata, Mammalia, Primates, Hylobatidae. The transcript has 4 exons.